Papaver somniferum (opium poppy) is the source of this 2119-nucleotide long non-coding RNA. RefSeq lists it as uncharacterized. NCBI's taxonomy places the organism in Eukaryota, Viridiplantae, Streptophyta, Magnoliopsida, Ranunculales, Papaveraceae. The transcript has 7 exons. The record is from RefSeq and is a predicted model, not a curated record.
CCUUUGACUUUCUCUCUCUCCCGUUUUAUUUCUUCAUUCUCUCCCUCUUCUUCUGCUAAUCCUAGAUCUGUUGAAACCCAACGAAAUCUAUCAAAAACUCAGAAGCUAUUUCUCUGAAGACUUAUCUAUAGAUCAAAACCCAUCUUUCAGAGAUCAAACUCAAUCUUCACUAACCUAAAAUUCGUUUGCAGCCCUAGAUAUGUGAUUUUCCCCUUCAUAAACUCUAGCAAAAUAAACUAUUUUCUCUAUUUUUACAUUUGAAAUUUAUCCAAUCCAAUGAGAUGAGUUUAUCAAGUACAGGUGCAGUGUGUAAAAACCCCAAUUCGUUUUUUCUCUACCCUAAUUCGUUUUUUUUCUAGGGAUUUUCCUUCCUAUAUGUCAUUUAUGAUCAAGAAGAACCUCGGUGAAAAGAUUAGAUAAAGCAGAUCCAUCACUAAUCGGAUCCGUAUGAAACUGAUAACCCUGUCAGCUUAUGUAUGUUUAUGCAUCAACAUCUCCAGAGAUGGAAAUGAAGAUGGAAAGAAUUUUUUUCUUGAGGAAUUGAUUAUUCCUUCAAAGUGAAGAUGGGGUAUACCACCAAAGCUUAGACCUGCCCCUUGACAGUUCUGAAGCCACUGAGCCUACGCGUCAACUCUCAACAUCUCUUACGUUUCUUUUGUAUCCUUCAACUCUCAACUGUUGUCCUGUUGUAGUAAUUUAGUUGGGUGCAAAUGUAGCUUUAAACUGCAGUGAGUAAGGGAUCAAAGUUGAAGAAUCCAGUAGAGUACAUGGCUUACAGAGUUUAAGCCCAACUUUUGUUCUUUUUGACAACGUCACUCAACAUUCUAGUUGCCAAACUUUUCCAUGGCUUACAGAGUUUAAGCCCAAAGUGAGCAAAAGCACCACGAAGGCGUAGAAAACAACCCAGCUAAACUUGAUAUGCUUAUUGGACUUCCUUUGUUUCUUCUUGUACGCAUAUAUGAGAAUGAUGAGGUACAUAGCGACAUAGACGAAUAAAAUUUUGGUAUUGCUAAUUUGAUAGUUUAGUUUCGUAGUGGCUGGUCUGUCAUACCGCAGUUUCAGUUUUCUUGACUUUCGUCAGUACUCGUGAACUUUUGAUUUCAGUGAGGGCUUGAGUUAUUUGUCUGCAAUAAAAUCUUGUGGGUUGUUCUAUAUUCCUCUUUAUGUUUUUCAAAUGAGCGCAGGGCAGUUGGUCUUUAGUCUUCACAAAUCCUCUAAAAUAAUGGGACAAUAGCCAACAUAUAGAAGAGCAAUUCUGACACUUCCAGAAAUUAAACACAAAGGGAAGAUUCAGUGGCUUAUAUAUUUAACUUGUUUAACCUGCGUACGUUGUACAUUAAAAUGAUCUAGUUGGCUAAGAUUCAGUGGCUUAUAUCUUUACCUUGUUAACCUGUGUAUAAUGUGCCGCACAUUAAAAUGAUCUAAUGGUGUCUAUGGUUCUGCAUACACAGGAAACAAAGAUGUAUGUAUUAUUGGUGAUGCACGUCCACCAAUGGGUGGAUUUUUUGGUAGCGUAUAAUCAACUGUGGGACACUAAGCUCGGAUCAGUAACUAUUAGGUGCGCUCUUAAAAGGGUGCAUGAUCUAACACUUACGGAAAAGAUCUUCUUUGGUAGUGUUGUUAGUGCAAAUUCAGGCCAUGCUCCUGCUUCACAAGCACCAUUAGGUGCAUGGUUACCUAAUACUGUAAUCUGCACUACCACUAACAAAGUUUGGGCAUGAAGAAGGUCAGCAAUAUGAUAAGAUCACGUUUUAUGGAACAUGUCAACGUUGUUGACCCCAUACGUCACUCGGGCGUAUUUGGCAUAUGUGAUCAGUUAUACGGAUCAAGUCUCUCAAGAUUGUGGAAGCCACCCUGGUUAGCCAGUGAAGGGCGCAACGAGCACAUAAGUCCAAUGGAGGCACAAGGCAUUGGAUAAGCAUAAAUUAUUUAUUAUUAGGGAUAAUACAUUUAUUUAGGUAUUUUAUUAUAUUUUAAGUAUUUAACUAUUUUAUUUAGAGUUUAUAUUUGUUUAGAAUACUAUUUUAUAAGUAGUAUUGUUUUCUUAUUUUCCAAGUAAUGUAGCCUAUAAAGAGGCCUUAUUAAUUGGUUAAUGAUAACAAAAAAAUUAUUAAGCAAA